AUGAAGAUAUAUGUGUUAAUUAUGAUGAUAUUUAAACACCGUUCUUUACUAGUUUAAACUUUUAAAGAAUAAUAGUUAUUUUGUGUUAUUUAAUAUGAUAUCAGCAUAGAAAGUUUUGAGUUCGAGUCACGCCAUUCUCCUAGCAUCAUUAAUUUUCUCUCAUUUAAUUCAAGUCUAGAUGUGAAAGGAAGUGUUAAUUAAAUAUAAAAAUAUUUAAAUAUUGUUCUCUACUAACUUAAACUUUUAGAAAAUAACGCUUGUUUCGUAUUAUUUAAUAAUAUAUACAACUUUUCU
RNAcentral lists this long non-coding RNA (294 nucleotides) under Ananas comosus (pineapple). RNAcentral's name for it is "long non-coding RNA (ACOM_LNC027192)". The record is from RNAcentral. Lineage: Eukaryota; Viridiplantae; Streptophyta; Magnoliopsida; Poales; Bromeliaceae.